RNAcentral lists this long non-coding RNA (210 nucleotides) under Mytilus galloprovincialis (Mediterranean mussel). The record is from RNAcentral. Lineage: Eukaryota; Metazoa; Mollusca; Bivalvia; Mytilida; Mytilidae.
AAUGAGACAACUAUCCACAAAAGACCAAAAUGACACAGACAUUAACAACUAUAGGUCACCGUACGGCCUUAAACAAUGAGCAAAGCCCAUACCGCAUAGUCAGCUAUAAAACGCCCCGAUAAGACAAUGUAAUACAAUUCAAACGAGAGAACUAACGGCCUUAUUUAUGUAAAAAAAUGAACGAAAAAUAAAUAUGUAACACAUAAACAA